This 508-nucleotide ribosomal RNA is filed under the name uncultured bacterium. RNAcentral describes it as "partial 16S ribosomal RNA". It matches the Rfam family "Bacterial small subunit ribosomal RNA", at positions 28 to 507 of the family's 1533-position model. The record is from RNAcentral.
GACGAACGCUGGCGGCGUGCUUAACACAUGCAAGUCGAACGGGCCUUGUCCCCUUUUUUUUUGGGGGUGGGGUUAGUGGCGAACGGGUGAGUAACACGUGAGUAACCUGCCCCUCACUUCUGGAUAACCGCUUGAAAGGGUGGCUAAUACGGGGUGUUCUGGCCUGCUCGCAUGGGUGGGUUUGGAAAGAUUCGACCGGUUUUGGUUGUUUUGGUGGGGGAUGGGCUCGCGGCCUAUCAGCUUGUUGGUGGGGUGAUGGCCUGCCAAGGCUUUGACGGGUAGCCGGCCUGAGAGGGUGGGCGGUCACACUGGGACUGAGACACGGCCCAGACUCCUACGGGAGGCAGCAGUGGGGAAUAGUGCACAAUGGGCGCAAGCCUGAUGCAGCGACGCCGCGUGAGGGAUGGAGGCCUUCGGGUUGUGAACCUCUUUCGCCAGUGAAGAAGGUCCUGCUCUUUGUGGUGGGGUUGACGGUAGCUGGGUUAAUGAAGCGCCGGCUAACUACGUG